Thalassophryne amazonica is the source of this 291-nucleotide long non-coding RNA. RefSeq lists it as uncharacterized. NCBI's taxonomy places the organism in Eukaryota, Metazoa, Chordata, Actinopteri, Batrachoidiformes, Batrachoididae. The record is from RefSeq and is a predicted model, not a curated record. The transcript is spliced from 4 exons.
GAUAAGGAGCUGCCAGACACACUGUCAAGAGCCCAGCUACCAUACAACACUCCAGAGCUGAAAGAGUUGGAAUGUGUGUCCAUGCUGAAUUACGUAGCUGUGAGUGAAGAGAGGUAUGCUGAGCUUAAGGAUUGCACAAAGAAAGAACUGAGCUCUCUGCAGCAUGCAAUACAGCACGGAUGGCCAGAGAAUAGAAGGGAUGCACCAGCUGUUGUCCAACCAUACUGGGACUCAAGAAGUCAACUCACGGUAUGUGAUGGAGUGCAGUUUCCUGCAGUAAAAAGUGUUGAA